CCUGAGGACACUAUGCACAGCCACCUACACCAGCAACCUGACUGCACCAGGAUAAGUCACUAACAAAGUUGGCUCUCAUACUUCAGGAAUAAAUAACAUUACUGAGUGCUGGGAUUGAUCAUGACAUGUGCACCCACACAACUCCACUGAAUUAAAGUCUGGAUAAUUGGGGACAGCUACGUCUGGCGAGGGGCCUAGAGAGCUACAGAUAUCAUAGGGAACCACCUUGGUGUUGAUGGUAUCUCUAUUGGUUUGGCUGGGG
Molecule: long non-coding RNA, 262 nt
Organism: Xiphias gladius (swordfish)
Lineage: Eukaryota; Metazoa; Chordata; Actinopteri; Istiophoriformes; Xiphiidae
Exons: 3
Source: RefSeq, a predicted model, not a curated record